CGGUUGGCGGGGGUGGGUAGGGUGUGGACUGCUUCUGGAGUCCUGAGGAGGUCCAGGUGGCCCCCGAGUCUCGAGUAGGUCGUCAGGAUCACGCCAGGGGAGCUGCCUGUGGCCACUGCAAGACAAGCAGAAGCCAGCUCAGCCCUAGGUGGGGGGCUGUGGAGCCAAAGGAUUGACACCCCUGCCUCACAGCAGGAAAUACGUGGGACAGCAUCCUGUGGACCUGAUGUGCGGACAAGGCUGAGAUCAGACGGGGUCAGACGGCCUGGAGGUGUGUAACCUCCACCAGCGACCUCAGCAUGUGACAUGCUCAGUCAUGCUGCCUCCCCCGCUCCCUGGCAACACUGAAGCCCCCAAAGCCUGUGCCGGCUCCCCAUGCCCACCGCAAUCAAGGCACAGCCCAGGAUGAGUGAGCCCGCUUCCAGUCCAUCCGGGCCGUGUACGUGACGAAGGCAGCGGUGGCCAGCAUGACACAGACCAGCAUGCCCAGCCAGAGGCCUACAGGACACGGGGAAGACCAAGCUGAGAUGA
Long non-coding RNA from Dama dama (fallow deer), 531 nucleotides. RefSeq lists it as uncharacterized. The record is from RefSeq and is a predicted model, not a curated record. The transcript is spliced from 3 exons. NCBI's taxonomy places the organism in Eukaryota, Metazoa, Chordata, Mammalia, Artiodactyla, Cervidae.